RNAcentral lists this ribosomal RNA (497 nucleotides) under uncultured bacterium. RNAcentral describes it as "partial 16S ribosomal RNA". It matches the Rfam family "Bacterial small subunit ribosomal RNA", at positions 28 to 507 of the family's 1533-position model. The record is from RNAcentral.
GAUGAACGCUGGCGGCGUGCCUAAUACAUGCAAGUCGAGCGAACAGACGAGGAGCUUGCCCCUCUGACGUUAGCGGCGGACGGGUGAGUAACACGUGGAUAACCUACCUAUAAGACUGGGAUAACUUCGGGAAACCGGAGCUAAUACCGGAUAAUAUAUUGAACCGCAUGGUUCGAUAGUGAAAGACGGUUUUGCUGUCACUUAUAGAUGGAUCCGCGCCGCAUUAGCUAGUUGGUAAGGUAACGGCUUACCAAGGCAACGAUGCGUAGCCGACCUGAGAGGGUGAUCGGCCACACUGGAACUGAGACACGGUCCAGACUCCUACGGGAGGCAGCAGUAGGGAAUCUUCCGCAAUGGGCGAAAGCUUGACGGAGCAACGCCGCGUGAGUGAUGAAGGUCUUCGGAUCGUAAAACUCUGUUAUUAGGGAAGAACAAAUGUGUAAGUAACUAUGCACGUCUUGACGGUACCUAAUCAGAAAGCCACGGCUAACUACGUG